AUCACCUUUAGAUGCGAUUUUGUGGAGUGUGAGGAGCUAAUCGCCUUCAUACCUGUAUAUUCGUGUACUUGGGGUGUACUUAUUCGUGGGGUAAGUUAACAUCAAUUUUGGUGGUCAUAAAAUGACUGGAGGAAUGUAGCUUCGAUCUCGUAUUGAAGUGUUAUAGCCUUCGGUAGAUGUGAUGAUCGAGAUUGAGGAUUGCAAUGGAUACCCUUCGGGGCUACCUGUCUGGUCUCUGAUUGUUGCUCUGGUGCCGAAAGCUUGCUUACGGUUAUCAAAGUCGAUGGUCAAUAGGUUAGAACGGGUUAAAUUCGUUAAGGAUGUUGACGUAAUGGCUUU
This 339-nucleotide ribosomal RNA is filed under the name uncultured Glomeromycotina. RNAcentral describes it as "eukaryotic LSU rRNA". The record is from RNAcentral. Lineage: Eukaryota; Fungi; Glomeromycota.